UCCAGUUGCAGCUGAUAAGAUAGUAAUUUACCAGAGAAAUUAAAGGAUACUUGUGUGACUAUGGCCAUGUUUUCUUCUACUUCCAGACCAGCGCAAAGUUUCAUCCUGUGUGCAUUAACACUUUGCUGAAUGGGCCUUGGGACCCUCCAGAUGCUCAAAGGACAGAGAGGUACACCUGCCCUGUCCUCCCCAAUGAUGACUCUCCUGUGAAGUACAGUGUGCGCAAAGACAGGACUAGUAACAACAAAGACCACAUAAAGGUAAGUCAUACUUCUACAGAGUAGUCCUGGCAGGGAAGAUGGUGAAUUUUACCCCACAGUUUCCUAUACUGGCAGGCGGGCACAAAAGCUUUGAGGGACC
Molecule: long non-coding RNA, 360 nt
Filed under: Numida meleagris (helmeted guineafowl)
Lineage: Eukaryota; Metazoa; Chordata; Aves; Galliformes; Numididae
Description: lncRNA (ENSNMEG00000013341.1)
Source: RNAcentral